UAGCCUAGUGGUUAAGGCUAUGGAUCGCCAAUCCGGAGACGGCGAGUUCGAUUCUCGU
This is a non-coding RNA of Aedes albopictus (Asian tiger mosquito), 58 nucleotides long. The record is from Rfam. Lineage: Eukaryota; Metazoa; Arthropoda; Insecta; Diptera; Culicidae.